RNAcentral lists this signal recognition particle RNA (116 nucleotides) under Nomascus leucogenys (northern white-cheeked gibbon). Its description in RNAcentral is "Metazoan signal recognition particle RNA". It matches the Rfam family "Metazoan signal recognition particle RNA". From Rfam's summary of the family: The signal recognition particle (SRP) is a universally conserved ribonucleoprotein. Lineage: Eukaryota; Metazoa; Chordata; Mammalia; Primates; Hylobatidae. The record is from Rfam by way of RNAcentral.
GCCGGGUGUGGUGGCUCACACCUGUAAUCCCACUACCUAGGAGGCUGAGGCGGGCGGAUCACUUGAGGUCAGGAGUUCGAGACCAGCCUGGCCAACAUGGUGAAACCCCGUCUCUA